Molecule: long non-coding RNA, 4926 nt
Organism: Oreochromis niloticus (Nile tilapia)
Lineage: Eukaryota; Metazoa; Chordata; Actinopteri; Cichliformes; Cichlidae
Source: Ensembl
UUUAAUAAACUGCAUUUCAAAAACCUUUUUCGAAUUGCACUUUAAUAAAGGUCCGUGUACUUUUCGGUAUUUGAAGUUUUGUUUCAGAAACCAAAACGAAAAAACGAUAUUUAAAAGAAUUUUCAUUUUUUUAAUUUUUGAUAAAGAAUAAAAUGGGCGAAAAUAACUUGUUUUUUCAUUCGGUGGUAACAAAUAGCCGUCAUACACUUAAAAUUAGACGUGCUUUUUUGGAUUUCUUCGUGAUUCAAAUAAUGAAAGUAUACUAGCGCAAAAACAAAAAAAUAGACGCAUUUUCAAUGUCUGAAACGGGAAGUACUUCUUCUGCGCGUUUUUUUAUGGCGCGCGCACACCGUCCCCCACACAAGAGAUCGACGGCCUUAAAGUUACACUGGAAUAAACAGAGGAUGGACCAUUACGUUGUUUUUAGGAAAACUAAGAGAGUGACACUCCGGGACGAAGACAUGACUGCAGAAAAACUGGGUCGCAUCUUUCAGGUAUCCGCGCAUACUCUGUACAUCACGGAUGAUUCAAACGUGGCUAUGUUCCCCGGUGCGGUCUCUGGUGUUUUCAGCGCAUUAGACCUUACACCCAGAGGUCACUAUGAAGUCCACGGAGAAGACAUGGAGUCAAUUCCAACAGCAGGUUCCAGCGGGCAGCGUUUUGCAUUUAUGCGAGCACCAGCUGUGGCAGCGUCUGCACCUUCACGUUCACAGCAGGCUACUUCAAGUUCCCCUAUGUCCUCCAAAACAUUUCAGAGAUCAGUGUACUUUGCAGAUGUAGUUGGUGGGAGGUUGAUUCCCAAUAGAAUGGUGGUUGUACGAUUCCUGGAGUCUGAGGCUACGCUUCAAGGGAUAGUAGGAAAAGUGCAAGAUGCCAUUGGUAAUUACAACCCAAUAAUUUUGACAGAUGCACAGGGCAAUGCAAUUCUGGAGUCGGAGGGCACAACAGGGUCACAGUACUGGAGACAAAAUGCACGAAAAAUUCUUGCUGUGCCUGAACAAGACUUUAAUUGCCUCCAGGGAACAAAGAGGAAGAAACUGAGCAGCCGUAAAGAUGAUGACAGUGCCAGUUUGGGAGAAGUGAGUGACAAAAUAGAAGAGUUGGUGUUGGCAUCUCAAAGUCUGCCAGCUGUCACAGCAGCAAUCAAAGAGCUCACUGAUCUUGCAGUUGCCCAGAAAGUCACAACCCCCAAGCUGCAGACACUCAAGGAGGGAUUUAGCUGCGUGGUUUGUAUGAGUAUGUUCAAAUGUUGCUUAGUAAAUACAUUACAUCUACACUAACAUUUUAAUUACAAUUAAAACAAUGUCAAACCACAUUCAAUCAUUACUUUGGACAAACAUUUUUUUACCAAACAUAGGCUCUUUAUUCAGCAGUGUCCAUUUAAAUACUUAGGCACAGACAAUCAAGAUGCAGGUCUACUGUAACAUAACAUUCAAAAGUUUACAUGCACAUUUAAUUUGGGUUCUCCUUGCAAUCUUGACUAUGAAAGUAUAGCUUUUCAAAUUGAUUACAAUGUCAGUAUGGGUGACGGUACACUGUUCACAGUAAUGUAAAACUAAAAAGUUCACAUUUAAAAUGGGACUGUAGUUGCAUAUAUUGAAUCAAGUACCUGUAACUUUUUCAUUUUUCUUGCUUGCUAAUUGAGAAAAUGUACUGAUUUUGCCCCUCAUCAAUUAUAGACAAAAAUAUAGACAGGGACUUUCUCAGAACAGCGUGAACAAGAGUAAUUACAGAAUAACCAAAAAUAUUCUGCAUGCUGUCUGUAAAUUUAUGUCAAGACUGACUUUGAACCUAUAGUUUGAACUAAAUUCAACAUAAAUGGAUAACAGUCUCACUUAUCUGAUUUACUUUUGCAGACAUCAUUGAGGAUCCAGUGUUCUCACUGUGCUGCAGAAGCAUUAUUGGCUGCAAGACAUGUGUGGAACAGUGGCAAGAGACAUCACAGCACUGUGCAAAAUGCAGGGAGAGUAACAACGGAGUUCUACAAAUUACUGGUCUAACAGCUGCAUUUUCUGUAUUGAAAUCUUUUUUUGCAGAGGAGUAAUGUAGUGUGUACACACAAAUGUUUACAGUCAGUUGAUUUUUUUUUUUGUCUGUUCUGUACAGUUUACAGAUGCAGUGGUUCAUACAUUUCUCUGAGUUAUGUUUAUGAGACAGAGCAGAGCUUCUUUGUAUGGCAUAAAGUCACCAUUUACGGCUCUAAAAAACAAAUGUGAAAUAUCAGGAUAUUUUUCUGCAAAAUGACUCUCUGUUCUAAGUUUGUCCUGUUCGGUUGUGAAGGGAUCAACUCCAAAAGUCGAAUAUUCUUUGAGUGCAGAUCCCAAGUGCUGCCUGUAAAGGUCUGCUGCUUCAAGUGCAUUUGGCAAGAGCUCUGGAGAAAUUCUUCUUUUACACCCAUGUUCUGCAAAGUGAUUUGGUAUGCCUUUUCCUGUAAAAAAUAGAGGAGGUGUUUAAAUGUUCAUUAUCAGGGUUGUAAGCAAUCUGACUUUUUUUUUUUUUUUUUUUACCUGGGAUUCUAUGAGCAUUCCAUGAUUCUACCACACUUGCAAGACCAAUGUUACACAGCUGACAGGUUAGAUUGGACACACAGUAUCGCACAAGGUUAUCCUCCAUAUCUAUCUCCUCCUGGUCCAUCAGCUGGAGUAGGGCAGUUUUUAGUGGGUAGUUGACACGGUUGUUGAUUUCAGGCCAAAUCCUUUCAACUGUGUGGUUCUAAAAGAGUUAAAAGAAACAUGUCUUAAAUGUACGUAGUAGUACACGUAAUAGUAUAAGAAUUUCAGCUGAUGUUAAUGGUACUUAAAUCUUACUCUUGUGGAUGAGGUCUGUAAAUAAGGCAGUCUCUCCUGAUUGAAGCGAUGAUGUGACAGCAUCUCUUGCAUGAACAGUGUUAAAUAAAAUUCCUUUCCAUGGUCUACUCGCACCUGGUCCCACAUACCAUAGGUGAUCACUGCAGGUCUGGUACAGGAAAAAUAAAGAACAUUUAUUAACUAUUUUGCUUUAAGACCAGCAAAGGUGUUAUUAUUUUGAAUGUAUUCAUUCAUGUUUUUUUUGGGUAAUAUUUUAGUUGUAGUAGGACAACAUAUAUUUCUUAAGUUUCUUUGCAAUGUCACUGUCAUGCUCAGACUUUAGAUGUAUGUCAGAACAAUUGAAAGAUAUGUGGAAAUCCAAGAACCUUGUUCCAUUCAUAAAUGAACACUGAUUAAUUGCAAUAAAGUAGUUAAAUGAUUCAUGUGCAAUUCCAUUUUAUUUAUUUUUACAUUAAUAGAAAAUGUUGAUCAAAAUGUUUGGUAAGUUCUUAAUAUAUUAUAUUCAGGAACAUAACCAGACCCAUCUGUUGCAUGUCUAAUUUAAAUUCAAAUAUUGUAAAUUUGGGUGCAGCUCAUGUCCAAUAUGACUAACAUGUCCAUCAAAACACUUAAGAUGAAAUAAAUGGUUUGAGAGGUUGUAUUACCUGAAAACAUAUUCAUAGAUGCUCAAGUUGUUUUUGAUUGGCAUUGUGGAAUGACUCACAAUCUUUUUACUGAAUCCAUCUACAGCUAAAACAUGGGUGACUCCAAACAUUACAAGUUUCUCGUUUUGGUCCAGGUGAACCUUGUGCCCCAUGCAUUCAGCAUGGUACGGUGUGGGAUUAAGAUUCCGAGCUCCCUUACAAAAAAAUCACAAAAAUAAAUGACAGCUGACUGGAUAAAGGCAGAUUUGAUCAUACGUUUGAGGAAGAGUCAAGUAACUGUUAAAGCAGGGCGUACAUCUGUUAAACAGAAUUAGGCCCUACCAUUACAUGAUGUAUAUCACAAAUAUGACAAAGAACAUUGGAAUACAGUUCUAGUGGAAGAUUAAAUAACAUAGGCUACCUGGCGUCUUGCUUCAUGAUAAGGUUGAUGCACCUCUCUUAAAAUUGACCCAAUUCGUCCCUCUGCAGCAUGUACCCCUUUUGUGGACAGAUAGCCCUUCAUCAUUUUGCGGCCAUAUGUUGGGCCCACCUGUUUAAAAUAAAAGAUCAUGCUACUACUAGAACAACAAAUGUAAAGUAGCUUAUUCUGAAAGCAAAUGUGUAAAGCUAAAGUAUUGUGCUAAUUAACUGUACAAAUACCAGUGAGAGACAUCUUUAAAAUAACUAACGUUACCCACCACCCGCAAGACGCUAAAACGCGCGGGCGCGCGCACACAGUCUAGACUAACCCCCUUACAACCCAGUUAAGACAACCAUACACAGUCAUAAGGUGAAGGAAGAAAGUACCUUACCUCAUUUAUAGCUUGUGUCACCUCAAGCUCCAACCGUGUGUCCGAGAGUCGACAGCUAGUGAUUUGCUCAGCACAAAACUUUCUAACAUUUCUCGCAGAAAAUCCUCUCACUUCCCCGUGUUCAUAUGACAGACGCUCUGAUAUAAUUUCCGAUGACAGGCCUUGUUUUGCCAUCUCCAUGAUCACGUCUGAGUAUUUUUCCAACGUCAUGAUGUCCACACUACAGUGUUUGCCAUAAGUUUGCGCAUCACUUGUACAGGUUGUUGACCUACUAAAACUUCCGGUUCAGACAAAAUAAAUAAAGGGCCCUUUCUCGUUCUUUUUUCUUGGGUUUUUCGUUUCUGAUGUGCGAAAGGACAAAAUGAAAAAAACAAUUGUUUUACGUUUUUCAUUUUAGCUUUUUAAGUUGAGAAUUAAAUAAGUGUCUCAUUUUCUUUUUUAAAUUAUACUUUCUGAAACGAAACUUCAAAUACCGAAAAGUACACGGAUUAAAUAAACUUCAUUUCAAAAACCUUUUUUCAAAUUGCACUUUAAUAAACUGCAUUUCAAAAACCUUUUUCGAAUUCCACUUUAAUAAACUGCAUUUCAAAAACCUUUUUUCGAAUUGCACUUUAAUAAACUGCAUUUCAAAAACCUUUUUCGAAUUGCACUUUAAUAAACUUCAUUUCAAAAUCCUUUUUCGAA